GAAAUACUACCUCCGUCUCAAAAUUCAUGUCUUAGAUUUAUCUAUAUAUGAAUAUAUUUAAUCACAUUUAAGUAUUUAGAUACAUUCAUUUUUAAAUAAACCUAAGACAUGAAUUUUAGGACGGAGGGAGUAGGUA
Hordeum vulgare subsp. vulgare (domesticated barley) is the source of this 136-nucleotide non-coding RNA. The record is from Rfam. Lineage: Eukaryota; Viridiplantae; Streptophyta; Magnoliopsida; Poales; Poaceae.